CGACCCAAGCUGAAGGCAGACGCCUAAACAUCUGAGCCACCCAGGAGCCCCAGCUUACUUUAUUUCAAACUUAUACCCAAUUGAUUGUUUCAGUCAGCCAGACAGGAGCACCAGACUCUAGAUUCCCUGGGAUCAGAACUGUAUUUUACACAGAUUAUCAUUCCUUUUAUGAAGGAGCCUGCUACUUAACCCUUUGCGGCCCAUUGGAGCAUGACUUUCUUUCCAACCUUUCUAUAUGAAUAUAUUUCUUCAGCCCUGAUGUUGAAUCCGUCAGACAAUCAAAGACUUUGUACCAUCGGAAGGGGCCCUAGAGAUCAUUUAGGGAAGUCCCUCCCUUUGCAGAUGAGAAUAUUGGGGCCUAGCAAUGGGAAGGGACAGUCCAACAUAAAAGCGGGGACUGGGACCCAGGGCUCCCAAGCAGCCCGCUCAGUGCUCUCUCUACCCCACCAGAUGUCUCUGUUCUAAGAUUCUCUUCCUCUCAAUUUGGUGUCCUAGAGUUUUUUUUUUCUUUCUUUUGUGAACUAAGGCAGCCUUAGACACAUUAAAUUCAGCCAUCUCCAUCAAGCCGGUUUCCCCAUUUUUAUCACUGUUCAGGCAGCUCUUUACGUAGCUCCAGUGAGUAUGUGUUAUCCUUGUAUUUUGUAAUUUUUACAUAACAUUGCUUCAUAUACUCGCUUCCAGGAAACAGUAUCUCAUUGUGCUACUCCACCAUGGAUGGCUUAGCCAAUUACAUAUUAUUGGACACUCAAAAUCAACAGGCACCUGGAAGUAUAUGCACAAAACUGUUAGCAAUGCUGUGGAAGAGCUCUUCUACUAGUCUUCAGGUCAUUCUCAGAGUGAGUGAACAGGCGGCAUGUUAACAAAGAUCUCAAGAGAGUCUGAUUCACAGACCCUGGGUGCAGUAGGCAGGGGCUUUUGCCCAACUCCAAAGGGAGACGUUCUCCAGAGCAAGAAGGUCCAAGAGUAAGUAGUACUUUGCACCAUUCAUCAUCAUUGUGCUCUAGAGACCCCUUGUAAUUGAAAUGUGCCUGCUGGGGUAUGAGAGGGUGUGGAACCACCUCACUGCCACCUGACUGGGCCUUCCUAGGGCCUAGGAAACUGCCCUUGGGGCUGUAGGCUGUGAUGGGCUGGCCAGAGAAACAGAGACAGCAGGAAGCUUCU
Non-coding RNA from Callorhinus ursinus (northern fur seal), 1161 nucleotides. Lineage: Eukaryota; Metazoa; Chordata; Mammalia; Carnivora; Otariidae. The record is from RefSeq and is a predicted model, not a curated record.